GAAGAUUUGAUUAAGCUAUUCCCCAUUUUUAAUAAUGGAGGUACUUGGUCAGAAAUGUAUUGAGAACUUUAAAAUUACUCUGCCCUGCUCAGACAGUGAAUUAGGGGAAGAUAAAGUUGCAAUAUACUAAAUGAACAAUGAAAAGUCCCCAACUCAUACUUAUAAGGAAGCAAAACCCUAAGCUAGGAUGUCUAUUUUUAGAUCUAAUACAAAAGGGUGCUAAGUAUCUAUAAAGGUUAAAUUAAUCACUAAAAGUUCAAGCAACUUACAAAAGCCAAGCUUAGCAAAAGAGAUAUGAAAUACUCAGAAGAUAUAAUAUACCCAGAGAAGGUGAGAACUAAAGAGUGAUGAGAACUAAUAAUGGGCAGUCCUGGGAAAAGGCAUCUAAUAUGAUUGGUAGAUGUGAAAAUAUAGGGGAGGUGACAUAAGAGAAAAUUCUCUUUAAAAGGACUUCUCUGAACUCAGUUCAGGAGUUCAGGAGUUCAGAGGAGGCUCUCUGAACUCAGUUCAGGAGUUGAGGAUUUCAGUGAAGGACUGGAGCUUGCUUGGGAGGAUCUUGUGUUCUUGGGGGCAGAGCCAAGAUCAUGAAGUAGAAGCAGAGAAGUCCAAAACCACCAUGAGAAUUGUCUCUAAUCAAUCUUAAAAUAAUGGCACAAUAUGAAUAUAAGAGUGAAAGAACCAACAAGGAAACAGAAUGAAACAGCUUUAAGAAGAGAAAAACCUAAAUGGUGGUUUGUAAUGAUCAUUUGGAACAAGAUUCAGAAGGCUCCUGCUACUAUGCUGCCAUCUUGGAUUCAUCUUCAAGAAUCUCAUUUUGAAAUUGGCAAUUUAAGGAGUUAUUUUGCUUCCCCAACUUGCUAUUUCUUGGAACAUAAAAAAUAUGAUUUCUAUAAAGGA
Long non-coding RNA from Monodelphis domestica (gray short-tailed opossum), 897 nucleotides. RefSeq lists it as uncharacterized. NCBI's taxonomy places the organism in Eukaryota, Metazoa, Chordata, Mammalia, Didelphimorphia, Didelphidae. The record is from RefSeq and is a predicted model, not a curated record.